GUACCUGUAGAGCAAUGGAUAGCGCGUUGAACUUCUGAUUCAAGGUCAUGGGCUCGAAUCCCAUCUGGGAUG
Molecule: non-coding RNA, 72 nt
Organism: Trichonephila inaurata madagascariensis
Lineage: Eukaryota; Metazoa; Arthropoda; Arachnida; Araneae; Nephilidae
Source: the annotation of a GenBank genome assembly